Molecule: unclassified non-coding RNA, 200 nt
Filed under: Tomentella sp.
Lineage: Eukaryota; Fungi; Basidiomycota; Agaricomycetes; Thelephorales; Thelephoraceae
Description: partial internal transcribed spacer 2
Source: RNAcentral
UUAAGUUCAGCGGGUAGUCCUACCUGAUUUGAGAUCAAACAUUCAAAGGGUUGUCCUCACUGAGGAGAGACGUCUAUGAGCUCCAGCGAACCUCCACUGCUGAAGGUUAUCUGGUGGAAAACCACAAGCGUAGAUAGUUAUCACACCCAUGAUACCCACCAAACACUGGUAAGCUGAUUUAUUUUAGAGGAGCUGACCUG